RNAcentral lists this small nucleolar RNA (76 nucleotides) under Pogona vitticeps (central bearded dragon). Its description in RNAcentral is "Small nucleolar RNA SNORD19 (ENSPVIG00000018740.1)". It matches the Rfam family "Small nucleolar RNA SNORD19". Rfam says of the family: Homo sapiens C/D box snoRNA HBII-108: This snoRNA is the human orthologue of the mouse MBII-108 and is predicted to guide 2'O-ribose methylation of the small 18S rRNA on position G683. snoRNA HBII-108 is encoded in a nucleostemin (NS) gene intron like the HBII-210 Lineage: Eukaryota; Metazoa; Chordata; Lepidosauria; Squamata; Agamidae. The record is from Rfam by way of RNAcentral.
GAGAAAUGAGGAUGCUAUGUUUUGGUCUUACUGUUACUAUGAAGACUUCAGAUCCAACUCUGAUCUCACUCCUAGC